Molecule: ribosomal RNA, 484 nt
Filed under: uncultured bacterium
Lineage: Bacteria
Description: partial 16S ribosomal RNA
Rfam family: Bacterial small subunit ribosomal RNA
Source: RNAcentral
AGUGAACGCUGGCGGCGUGCUUAACACAUGCAAGUCGAACGAGAACGGGUUAUAGCUUGCUAUAAUUGUCAGCUAAGUGGCGCACGGGUGAGUAAUGUAUAGGUAAUAUGCCUCUUACUAAUGGAUAACAAAUGGAAACGUUUGCUAAUACCUUAUACUCCUUAUUAACAGAAGUUAAUAAGGGAAAGAUUUAUUGGUAAGAGAUUAGCCUGUAUUGUAUCAGUUAGUUGGUGGGGUAAUGGCUUACCAAGACUAUAACACAUAACUGGUUUGAGAGGAUGAUCAGUCACACUGGAACUGAGACACGGUCCAGACUCAUACGGGAGGCAGCAGUGGGGAAUAUUGCACAAUGGACGAAAGUCUGAUGCAGCAACGCCGCGUGGAGGAUGACACAUUUCGGUGCGUAAACUCCUUUUAUAUGAGAAGAUAAUGACGGUAUUAUAUGAAUAAGCACCGGCUAACUCCGUGCCAGCAGCCGCGGUAA